RNAcentral lists this ribosomal RNA (652 nucleotides) under uncultured Mollicutes bacterium. RNAcentral describes it as "bacterial SSU rRNA". It matches the Rfam family "Bacterial small subunit ribosomal RNA", at positions 28 to 676 of the family's 1533-position model. The record is from RNAcentral. Lineage: Bacteria; Bacillati; Mycoplasmatota; Mollicutes.
GAUGAACGCUGGCGGCAUGCCUAAUACAUGCAAGUCGAACGAAGUGCUUUAUGCACUUAGUGGCGAAUGGGUGAGUAACACGUAUUUAAUCUACCUAAUAGUGAGGGACAACAGUUAGAAAUGACUGCUAAUACCGCAUAGUAUAUUUUAUGGCAUCAUAAAAUAUUUAAAGGCGCUUCGGCGUCGCUAUUAGAUGAGGAUGCGGCGUAUUAGCUUGUUGGUAAGGUAAUGGCUUACCAAGGCAAUUAUACGUAGCCGGCCUGAGAGGGUGAACGGCCACAUCGGGACUGAGACACGGCCCGGACUCCUACGGGAGGCAGCAGUAAGGAAUUUUUCACAAUGGACGAAAGUCUGAUGGAGCAAUGCCGCGUGAUUGAUGACAGCCUUAGGGUUGUAAAAAUCUGUUAUAGAGAAAGAAUUGUCAGUAUAGGAAAUGAUAUUGGCUUGACGGUACUUUAUCAGAAAGACACGGCAAACUAUGUGCCAGCAGCCGCGGUAAUACAUAGGUGUCAAGCGUUAUCCGGAUUUAUUGGGCGUAAAGAGUGCGCAGACGGUAUGAUAAGUUUGAGGUUAAAGGCUAGGGCUUAACCCUAGUUUCGCCUUGAAACUGGUCUUACUAGAGUGUGGUAGAAGUUGAUGGGAUUUUCUGUGU